UGGUCCGGCCGGUCCUUUCCUUCGGGGAAACCUCGUGCCCUUCACUGGGCAUGUUGAGCAACCAGGACUUUUACUUUGAAAGAAUUAAAGUGUUCCAACCACGCCUUUGCUCAAAUACAUUAACAUGAAAUAAUAGAAUAGGACGAGUGUUUCUAUUUUGUUGGUUUCUAGAACCGCCAAAAUGAUUAAUAGGGAUAAUCAGGACCAUCAUGAUUCAAUCGACAUACGUGAAAUUCUUGAAUUGAUUGAACACUAACUACUGCUAAAGCAUUUGCCAACGAUGUUUUCAUUAAUCAGUGAACGAAACUUAGGGGAUCAAAUACCAUCAUAUACCGUCCUAUUCUUAACCAUAAACAAUGCCCACUAGAUAUCAUACUGUGUAAUUAUUUUGACCCGUUCGACACCUUACAAUAAAUCAAAUCUUUUGGGAUCAGGGGGGAGUAUGGUCGCAAGGCUGAAACUUAAAGAAAUUGACCGAAGGGCACCACCACGGCUGGAUCCUGCGACUCAAUUUGACUCAACACGGGGAAACUCACCAUGUCCAGACACAAUAAAGAUUGACAGAUUGAUA
Molecule: ribosomal RNA, 571 nt
Filed under: uncultured Zasmidium
Lineage: Eukaryota; Fungi; Ascomycota; Dothideomycetes; Mycosphaerellales; Mycosphaerellaceae
Description: bacterial SSU rRNA
Rfam family: Eukaryotic small subunit ribosomal RNA
Source: RNAcentral